Molecule: long non-coding RNA, 579 nt
Organism: Podarcis raffonei (Aeolian wall lizard)
Lineage: Eukaryota; Metazoa; Chordata; Lepidosauria; Squamata; Lacertidae
Exons: 3
Source: RefSeq, a predicted model, not a curated record
UAUUCUAUCACUGAGAAAUGGUCCUUCCCUUAUUCAGGGGCUUAUAGGAAUUGGAGCUAAAGGCAGCACAGCAAAGCAUUUAUUUUUAGCUGGAUUGUCCAUUUUGAGCAAAUUUCCAAGCUUAAGUGUGUUCUUCCUGCUUUCUUUCAGCCACGUGGGUUGGAGGAGCAUAUAUCAAUGGCACUGCUGAAAUUGUCUACCUGCCUUCAAGAGGACUCAUGUGGGUCCAGGCCCCAGCAGGAUUUGCUCUGUCUCUCCUUAUUGGUGGGCUCUUCUUUGUCAAUCCAAUGAGAUCGAAGAAGUACGUGACAAUGAUGGAUCCACUCCAAGAAACAUAUGGGAAUGUGAUGGCAAGCCUCAUGUUUAUUCCAUCGUUGAUAGGGGACAUAUUCUGGUUUGCAGCUAUUCUUGCUUCCUUAGGUGCAACCAUGCAGGUCAUUUUGGAUAUCCAUGGUAUUUUAGUCAUUAUUAUCUCUGCAUGCACGGUUAUAAUCUAUACUUUAUUAGGUGGCCUGUACUCGGUUGCAUAUACAGAUGUAAUACAGCUGGUCUUUAUAACAGUCAGCCUGGUAAGUCCCA